Molecule: ribosomal RNA, 440 nt
Filed under: uncultured bacterium
Lineage: Bacteria
Description: partial 16S ribosomal RNA
Rfam family: Bacterial small subunit ribosomal RNA
Source: RNAcentral
CCUACGGUGGGCAGCAGUGGGGAAUAUUGCACAAUGGGGGAAACCCUGAUGCAGCGACGCCGCGUGAGUGAAGAAGUAUUUCGGUAUUUAAAGCUCUAUCAGCAGGGAAGAAAAUGACGGUACCUGAUCAAGAAGCCCCGGCUAACUACGUGCCAGCAGCCGCGGUAAUACGUCGGGGUCAAGCGUUAGCCGGAUUUACUGGGUGUAAAGGGAGCGUAGACGGCAGCACAAGUCUGGAGUGAAAGGCCGGGGCUUAACCCCGGAACUGCUUUGGAAACUGUGCAGCUUGAGUGCAGGAGAGGUAGGUGGAAUUCCUAGGGUAGCGGUGAAAUGCGUAGAUAUUAGGAGGAACACCAGUGGCGAAGGCGGCUUACUGGACUGUAACUGACGUUGAGGCUCGAAAGCGUGGGGAGCAAACAGGAUUAGAUACCCCUGUAGUC